CGGAGUGGAUAGUAAAUUGAUCCACGCUGUUUUUAAGCAAAGGGUGGAGGUAUUGCAUCGUUACGUUGACAAAUGUAAUGACCGUGAACUUCAAGUACUCCCCGUACUCCAGUCAUUACUCGGAAAAUGUCAACACCCUGAAGAUUUGAUUCGUGAUGUCUUUGAGAUAUUCUGUAAUGGUGAAGUAAUCUCUGAGUAGUCCGUUCAGUCUUGGGUGUUUGAAUGGAAUCCUAGCUCAUUGGAAGAGAAUUAAGAUAACUUGGAUAUGAGGUUCCUGUUUUGGUUCAGCGAGUUAGUUAUCGACACUGAACAGGCUCUUGACUGAAAAACAUUGGAAUGUGAUGGAAGGCACAUUUUUCGUUUUUAAGUGCUAAAAAAAAAGUUGCCCGUGCGUGCAGCUUUUUGUUUUGUUUUAAGAAUAUUUUUGCAACUACUGUUUCGCAUGCUCCCUUAACCAUUUAACCUAGCAUGUCCGUUCGUUCUUACUUUUUAUAUUUUCAAGCAUUAACACAUAUAAUAAUUGUCGAAAUAGACCAUUUUUUUGUUGAAAGAAAUAUAGGCGAUCAACUGCAAGACUACGUCUAACAA
This is a long non-coding RNA of Daphnia carinata, 588 nucleotides long. RefSeq lists it as uncharacterized. The transcript has 2 exons. The record is from RefSeq and is a predicted model, not a curated record. NCBI's taxonomy places the organism in Eukaryota, Metazoa, Arthropoda, Branchiopoda, Diplostraca, Daphniidae.